UACGUAGGGACCAAGCGUUGUUCGGAUUUACUGGGCGUAAAGGGCGCGUAGGCGGCAUGACAAGUCACUUGUGAAAUCUCUGGGCUUAACUCAGAACGGCCAAGUGAUACUGUCGCGCUAGAGUGCAGAAAGGGCAAUCGGAAUUCUUGGUGUAGCGGUGAAAUGCGUAGAUAUCAAGAGGAACACCUGAGGCGAAGGCGGGUUGCUAGGCUGACACUGACGCUGAGUGCGCGAAAGCCAGGGGAGCAAACGGG
RNAcentral lists this ribosomal RNA (254 nucleotides) under uncultured bacterium. RNAcentral describes it as "partial 16S ribosomal RNA". It matches the Rfam family "Bacterial small subunit ribosomal RNA", at positions 524 to 776 of the family's 1533-position model. The record is from RNAcentral.